RNAcentral lists this ribosomal RNA (590 nucleotides) under uncultured bacterium. RNAcentral's name for it is "bacterial SSU rRNA". The stretch from base 1 to 511 matches the Rfam family "Bacterial small subunit ribosomal RNA", at positions 338 to 873 of the family's 1533-position model. The record is from RNAcentral.
CCUACGGGAGGCAGCAGUGGGGAAUCUUGCGCAAUGGGCGAAAGCCUGACGCAGCCAUGCCGCGUGAAUGAUGAAGGUCUUAGGAUUGUAAAAUUCUUUCAGUAGGGACGAUAAUGACGGUACCUACAGAAGAAGCCCCGGCUAACUUCGUGCCAGCAGCCGCGGUAAUACGAAGGGGGCUAGCGUUGCUCGGAAUUACUGGGCGUAAAGGGAGCGUAGGCGGGUUAUCAAGUUGGAGGUGAAAGCCCAGGGCUCAACCUUGGAAUUGCCUUCAAAACUGAUAGCCUAGAGUAUGAUAGAGGUAUGUGGAACUCCGAGUGUAGAGGUGAAAUUCGUAGAUAUUCGGAAGAACACCAGUGGCGAAGGCGACAUACUGGGUCAUGACUGACGCUGAGGCUCGAAAGCGUGGGGAGCAAACAGGAUUAGAUACCCUGGUAGUCCACGCUGUAAACGAUGAUUGNUAGUGUCGACGGCGUGCGUCGGUGUCGCNGCUACGCAUAGACACUCCGCCGUCGGGAGGUACGGUCGCGAGAUAAACUACAAGAAGUAGACGCGNGAGAGNGCCGACGGACGACGACGAGGGAGGUAGG